GGAGGGGUGCCGGAGUGGUUUAACGGGACGGUCUUGAAAACCGUUGUCCGCCUCGUGCGGACCGUGGGUUCGAAUCCCACCCCCUCCGCCA
This 91-nucleotide transfer RNA is filed under the name Dehalococcoidia bacterium. RNAcentral describes it as "tRNA-Ser". It matches the Rfam family "tRNA". From Rfam's summary of the family: Transfer RNA (tRNA) molecules are approximately 80 nucleotides in length. Lineage: Bacteria; Bacillati; Chloroflexota; Dehalococcoidia. The record is from RNAcentral.